Arvicanthis niloticus (Nile rat) is the source of this 520-nucleotide long non-coding RNA. RefSeq lists it as uncharacterized. Lineage: Eukaryota; Metazoa; Chordata; Mammalia; Rodentia; Muridae. The record is from RefSeq and is a predicted model, not a curated record.
GCCUGGUCUACCUGCUCCACUCUUCUCUGCCCAUCCCCACAAUGCACGUGUUAUAGCGUCUGCCUUGGCGUGUCUUGAUAGUGAAAGGGCUACAUUCCCUGAACAGUAGAGGAUGUGGGCAGGUCUCUGGAAUACCAGGGAUUCUUACUGUUUUACUAGGGCUUUGCAGGGAGAAGGAGUUCAGAGACUCCGGGAGACAGCCUCCAGCCACUGAUGUUUCAGAGAAGCUGCAGAGUGAGCUCCACUCUCUGGGAAGUCCAGUGCCUCUCUUAAGCAUGGGCAGCCAAGAGAGGAGGCCGUGGAGGAAAAGGAGUGCUUUCUACAAAAGUGGUAAGUUUGGAGAUUUCAGUUGAGAGAAUUCAUCCCUGGCUUGUUUCAUAGAAGACCAAGUCCUGUGUUUGGGAUCAGCAACACCCUCUCUCAUAACUGCAGCCACAGGGGACAGGGAAACCCGUAGGAUGAACUGGAGGCUCUGCAGGCUUUUGGACCCAAGCCCAACAUGCCAUCAUUCAAUUAUGGG